RNAcentral lists this ribosomal RNA (112 nucleotides) under Wugigarra yawai. Its description in RNAcentral is "partial 16S ribosomal RNA". Lineage: Eukaryota; Metazoa; Arthropoda; Arachnida; Araneae; Pholcidae. The record is from RNAcentral.
CCUCUUUUAAAAGUUCAAAUUUAAAAAGAAAUCUACGACCUCNAUGUUGAAUUAAUUUACCUAUNACAAUGAAAGAGUUUAAUAAGGAGGUCUGUUCGACCUAUAAAAAAUU